RNAcentral lists this ribosomal RNA (440 nucleotides) under uncultured bacterium. RNAcentral's name for it is "bacterial SSU rRNA". It matches the Rfam family "Bacterial small subunit ribosomal RNA", at positions 338 to 770 of the family's 1533-position model. The record is from RNAcentral.
CCUACGGGAGGCAGCAGUGGGGAAUUUUGGACAAUGGGCGCAAGCCUGAUCCAGCCAUUCCGCGUGAGUGAAGAAGGCCUUCGGGUUGUAAAGCUCUUUCGCAAGGGAAGAAAACUUACUCAAUAACACUGGGUGAGGCUGACGGUACCUUGAUAAGAAGCACCGGCUAACUACGUGCCAGCAGCCGCGGUAAUACGUAGGGUGCGAGCGUUAAUCGGAAUUACUGGGCGUAAAGCGUGCGCAGGCGGUUUUGUAAGUCAGAUGUGAAAUCCCCGGGCUCAACCUGGGAACUGCGUUUGAAACUACAAGGCUAGAGUAUGGGAGAGGGAGGUAGAAUUCCACGUGUAGCAGUGAAAUGCGUAGAGAUGUGGAGGAAUACCAAUGGCGAAGGCAGCCUCCUGGCCUAAUACUGACGCUCAUGCACGAAAGCGUGGGGAGCA